Molecule: ribosomal RNA, 440 nt
Filed under: uncultured bacterium
Lineage: Bacteria
Description: partial 16S ribosomal RNA
Rfam family: Bacterial small subunit ribosomal RNA
Source: RNAcentral
CCUACGGGAGGCAGCAGUGGGGAAUAUUGCACAAUGGGGGAAACCCUGAUGCAGCGACGCCGCGUGAGUGAAGAAGUAAUUCGGUAUGUAAAGCUCUAUCAGCAGGGGAGAAAAUGACGGUACCUGAGUAAGAAGCCCCGGCUAACUACGUGCCAGCAGCCGCGGUAAUACGUAGGGGGCAAGCGUUAUCCGGAUUUACUGGGUGUAAAGGGAGCGUAGGCGGCAGUGCAAGUCUGGAGUGAAAGGCGGGGGCUCAACCCUCGGACUGCUCUGGAAACUGUACGGCUGGAGUGCAGGAGAGGUAAGUGGAAUUCAUAGUGUAGCGGUGAAAUGCGUAGAUAUCAGGAGGAACACCAGUGGCGAAGGCGGCUUACUGGACUGUAACUGACGUUGAGGCUCGAAAGCGUGGGGAGCAAACAGGAUUAGAUACCCCUGUAGUC